AGAAUUGACUAAACUAAUCGAAGCCUUUAUAAUAAGCAAUGCCUUAACUGGCUAUGGUAAUAAACGUUGUUUGGAAUAGAAGUAUCGGACCCGGGGGCAGUACCCGGCGCCUCCACCAUAAAAUUUUAUGGGGGCGAAUUAGCAUCGACGGGCUUAAUAAAGAAACGAUUUUUACCCAGUAUGAUUCCGCUGAAAACUAUAUUAUAGUUUUUUGGGUCAAAAAAAGUAAAUGCAAAUGAUAAUAAUCAACGCAUGAAGGCUACUGACACUGCGCUUCUAGCUAUGCCUAAGUAUAGCUUUGCGCCUGCUGCUUACGCUUAGAACAGUAGCCCGAUAGGGCUUUGGGGGUUUGCCUAGUAACAGAAAAACCCCCAA
This 375-nucleotide transfer-messenger RNA is filed under the name Candidatus Megaera endosymbiont of Nemacystus decipiens. It matches the Rfam family "Alphaproteobacteria transfer-messenger RNA". Rfam says of the family: Bacterial tmRNA, also known as 10Sa RNA or SsrA, is named for its dual tRNA and mRNA-like properties. Its role is to liberate the mRNA from a stalled ribosome. The record is from RNAcentral. Lineage: Bacteria; Pseudomonadati; Pseudomonadota; Alphaproteobacteria; Rickettsiales; Rickettsiaceae.